This is a non-coding RNA of Camellia sinensis, 1211 nucleotides long. The record is from RefSeq and is a predicted model, not a curated record. NCBI's taxonomy places the organism in Eukaryota, Viridiplantae, Streptophyta, Magnoliopsida, Ericales, Theaceae.
AGAUGUUGAUUGAUAUGACCAAAAUAAGUGUAUGUAUGCAAAAAAAAAAAAAAUUGUAUGUUUUUAGUCCAUGCCAAACGUCUACUUAGCUACUAAAAAAAUUUAGUCGCCUUUAACUGACUUUUACUGACAAAAUUGUUUAGUCGGCAAUUGUAAUUAAAAUUUUGGAGGGAGGAUUUGAAUUUUUAGAGGGUUCCUAAAUUAAUUGGUGACGGAACUAUGUUUUGGUAGGGAAAAGGUUACUUUACUUGUUUUUGGCGACCAAAGCUAUUAGUCAGGGAAUUUUUUUUUUUUUUGCACAACGUCACCGUUUUAUUUUAGGCUAACUUAUCUUGGUAGGCUGGUGUGUCUCUAUGAUCACUGUGAAUCUCUCUCUCUCACUCCUCUCCUCCUUCCAGGAUCGCUCUCGCACCGUCAUCACAUCGUCGCACCGUCGUACCUCCGUCGAUCCACCAUUGGAGCAUUAUCCCAGAAAUCCCAACAAACAGAGCUAUGUUGUUUCUAAUGAUAGCUUUUUCUGUUCUUCCAACGAUCUCAUUCAAGCAAUGUGUACAAUGUUUAUAAGGGUGUUCAAGCAAGGAAAGGAAGCAUGUUUCUGGCAUUUGGGUUCCUUGUGGCCAUAUGACUGAUGAGUUGAGGAAUUUUUUGGAGCUAACUCUCCCAAAAGUUAAGGAUAGAAAGAAGCCUAAAUUCACAACUAACCUAAAGAGCCUCAAGGAGAUUACAUAGAGCUUCACAAGAAGAGACAUGGCUAUCGCCAUGAUCACUUCAAGCGCAAACACAAGAAAGAGGCUUGCAAGGUUCACAAGCGAUCUUAGCUUGCUCAGAAGAAAGAUCUUGAUAUAUAUGAAAUGAACGUUUGUGCUUUUAUGGCUGAUGAAUCCAGUGGGCAAGAUCCAAGCAUACAUAGCAGCUACCUUGGUGUUAUUGAGAUGAUGGAUGAAUUCGUGCACAAAGCUGAAUUGUACAGGACUAGUUGGCACUUGUUAUAUUUUUUGAAGGAUUAUGUAUUUUUGGAUAGAUGUGUAUGGAAAAUAUUUGGAUAGACUACUAGUUAUAUUUUUGGAUGAUUAUAUAGAUUACAUGACUUUUAAUUGGACGAUUAUGUAGUUUGGAAUUACUUGUGGAUGAAAACUUAUAAUAGUUGAUGACUUCAAUUAAACAUGUUAAGGAUUUGAUGAUUUAUGUAUUUUGUUGGAUGUUCGUGGUUC